GACGAACGCUGGCGGCGUGCUUAACACAUGCAAGUCGAACGGAAAGGCCCUGCUUUUGUGGGGUGCUCGAGUGGCGAACGGGUGAGUAACACGUGAGUAACCUGCCCUUGACUUUGGGAUAACUUCAGGAAACUGGGGCUAAUACCGGAUAGGAGCUCCUGCUGCAUGGUGGGGGUUGGAAAGUUUCGGCGGUUGGGGAUGGACUCGCGGCUUAUCAGCUUGUUGGUGGGGUAGUGGCUUACCAAGGCUUUGACGGGUAGCCGGCCUGAGAGGGUGGCCGGCCACAUUGGGACUGAGAUACGGCCCAGACUCCUACGGGAGGCAGCAGUGGGGAAUAUUGCACAAUGGGCGGAAGCCUGAUGCAGCAACGCCGCGUGCGGGAUGACGGCCUUCGGGUUGUAAACCGCUUUCGCCUGUGACGAAGCGUGAGUGACGGUAAUGGGUAAAGAAGCACCGGCUAACUACGUGCCAGCAGCCGCGGUGAUACGUAGGGUGCGAGCGUUGUCCGGAUUUAUUGGGCGUAAAGGGCUCGUAGGUGGUUGAUCGCGUCGGAAGUGUAAUCUUGGGGCUUAACCCUGAGCGUGCUUUCGAUACGGGUUGACUUGAGGAAGGUAGGGGAGAAUGGAAUUCCUGGUGGAGCGGUGGAAUGCGCAGAUAUCAGGAGGAACACCAGUGGCGAAGGCGGUUCUCUGGGCCUUUCCUGACGCUGAGGAGCGAAAGCGUGGGGAGCGAACAGGCUUAGAUACCCUGGUAGUCCACGCUGUAAACGGUGGGUACUAGGUGUGGGGUCCAUUCCACGGGUUCCGUGCCGUAGCUAACGCUUUAAGUACCCCGCCUGGGGAGUACGGCCGCAAGGCUAAAACUCAAAGGAAUUGACGGGGCCCCGCACAAGCGGCGGAGCAUGCGGAUUAAUUCGAUGCAACGCGUAGAACCUUACCUGGGUUUGACAUGGAUCGGGAGCGCUCAGAGAUGGGUGAGCUUCUUUUGGGGUCGGUUCACAGGUGGUGCAUGGCUGUCGUCAGCUCGUGUCGUGAGAUGUUGGGUUAAGUCCCGCAACGAGCGCAACCCUUGUUCACUGUUGCCAGCACGUUAUGGUGGGGACUCAGUGGAGACCGCCGGGGUCAACUCGGAGGAAGGUGGGGAUGACGUCAAGUCAUCAUGCCCCUUAUGUCCAGGGCUUCACGCAUGCUACAAUGGCUGGUACAGAGAGUGGCGAGCCUGUGAGGGUGAGCGAAUCUCGGAAAGCCGGUCUCAGUUCGGAUUGGGGUCUGCAACUCGACCUCAUGAAGUCGGAGUCGCUAGUAAUCGCAGAUCAGCAACGCUGCGGUGAAUACGUUCCCGGG
This 1343-nucleotide ribosomal RNA is filed under the name uncultured bacterium. RNAcentral describes it as "16S ribosomal RNA". It matches the Rfam family "Bacterial small subunit ribosomal RNA", at positions 28 to 1378 of the family's 1533-position model. The record is from RNAcentral.